UUCUUGGAGAAAUUAUUGGUGAAUUUCUUAACAUGACUAGAAGUGCCGACUUCCUUAGUCAAACAGCCCUCUCGGACUGCUUCAUCAAGUCGCAAGACCAUGUUUACCAUCUCGGUGAAAUCACUGGGUGCACUAGAGGUCAUGCGGUCAUACUAGAAUGAACUCAGAGUUUUCAAAAAUAUUUUAGUCAUCUCUUUCUCUUCA
Molecule: long non-coding RNA, 204 nt
Filed under: Lathyrus oleraceus (garden pea)
Lineage: Eukaryota; Viridiplantae; Streptophyta; Magnoliopsida; Fabales; Fabaceae
Description: Pisum sativum (pea) long non-coding RNA (PSAT_LNC008929)
Source: RNAcentral